UUGUAUAACCUGGAGUUGACGAAGUUCACAGUGCCUGCAGACGCCAGCUGACUGUUCCCUGCUCAGAGACCAAGCAGGAAGUUCUUGUGUGUACGCGCAGCUGAUUGGUCAGAAUCACAGCCACACCCUCUAAGACUUGAGGACCUGUCACUGGUCUCCUCUGGGCAUGGGAAGCCCAGGAUGUAUUCUGCAAAGUUCUCUACUAAUAUUUCACGUGGGAUCACACCGUCCAAAGAAUUUUCAGAAUCUCCAGCUAUGGACACAAGGACACAUAUAAUUAGGGGCUCAGACCUUUUAGAAGUGUUGUGAAACACUCCACCACCUCGUCCUCUGUCAUGGGUUCUCCUGUCAAAACAUCCCUUCACAAUGAUAUGACUGUGCAUGACUUUACAGAUUAAAUCACAAAGACAAAUACGGCCCUGGUGUACC
Cynoglossus semilaevis (tongue sole) is the source of this 429-nucleotide long non-coding RNA. RefSeq lists it as uncharacterized. The transcript has 3 exons. Lineage: Eukaryota; Metazoa; Chordata; Actinopteri; Pleuronectiformes; Cynoglossidae. The record is from RefSeq and is a predicted model, not a curated record.